UAAAUAAAAUCACAGCGAGCCAUACAAAUUCCACUAUUUCAAUAGUGGCCAUUCAAUACCAUUGUUGCAAGUUGUGUGGCCCAUAUAAGUGUUAGAUUUGCCUCAUAUUUGGGCCCACCCCUAAAACGAGCCAAUGAAAAUAGUAGAUAGGGUGGAUUUGUGACAAACAUCAGUGGGCCCCACUACCUUUUCAACUGUUCAUAAAAUGGACUACCCAAAAAGCCCAAAGUACAUAUAUAUGACCCAUGAUGAUAAUCAUGUCUACUAGGGCCACUGUAAUAAUAUUUAUUUGCCAUCCAACAUGUUUACAAGGACCUGAUGAGGAGAACAAACAUCACCUGAUCUAAAACCUAUGUGCAAAAUGUUUUCAAUCCCGGCUGUUUCAUGUGGUUUGGUCCACCAAUGAUGCCUUUGUGACAUCUAUUUGAGAAUACCAUCCAUCCAAAGUAGGGGCAACUAGAUGGAUGGACCUGAUUAAUUCGUUACCUUGCCUCCUGUACUGUGGAAGAGUUGUCACCACCGUAUUCCAGUUUCACCCACUUUACCGUAUCAAUCUCCUGAAAUGGACAUGGGCCAUCCACAUUCACCGCUUUUGUUUGAUGGUUGUUGCGUCGUAGAACGCAAUGAGUUCGUCGCAAGUCACCAAAAUCCUGACAAUUAUCCACUGCACAUGCAUUCUGUGUACGUGCAAGCCAAUCCAGUCCGUCCAAAGUAUGGGCCCUACCGUGGCACUGAUCAAUCAAUCCCAACAGUCCAAUUCGUGCCAACAAACAAAAACCAGGCGUGCAACCUUAUGAACGUGUUAGAUGGCAAAUAAACAUUACACUGGUCCUUGUAGGCGUGAUGAUAAGUGUGUAGUUGGGGCUUUUUGGAUGGUUGUCCAUUUAAUUCUUGAAGAAUAGUGGGGCCACCAUGUUGUUUAUAACAAAUCCAUCUCGUCCACUAUUUUCAUCAGCUUAUUUUUAAGGUGUGGGCCCAAAUAUGAGGUACGU
This is a long non-coding RNA of Magnolia sinica, 992 nucleotides long. RefSeq lists it as uncharacterized. The transcript has 2 exons. NCBI's taxonomy places the organism in Eukaryota, Viridiplantae, Streptophyta, Magnoliopsida, Magnoliales, Magnoliaceae. The record is from RefSeq and is a predicted model, not a curated record.